RNAcentral lists this ribosomal RNA (403 nucleotides) under uncultured bacterium. RNAcentral describes it as "bacterial SSU rRNA". It matches the Rfam family "Bacterial small subunit ribosomal RNA", at positions 355 to 775 of the family's 1533-position model. The record is from RNAcentral.
UGGGGAAUAUUGGGCAAUGGACGCAAGUCUGACCCAGCUAUGCCGCGUGAAUGAUGAAGGCCUUAGGGUCGUAAAGUUCUUUUACCAGGGAAGAUGAUGACGGUACCUGGAGAAAAAGCUCCGGCUAACUUCGUGCCAGCAGCCGCGGUAAUACGAAGGGAGCAAGCGUUGCUCGGAUUUAUUGGGCGUAAAGGGUGUGUAGGCGGUUUGAUAAGUUAGAUGUGAAAGCCCAGGGCUUAACCCUGGAAUUGCAUUUAAGACUGUCAGACUUGAAGAUUGGAGAGGUUAGCAGAAUUCCCAGUGUAGAGGUGAAAUUCGUAGAUAUUGGGAAGAAUACCAAUGGCGUAGGCAGCUAACUGGCCAAAUCUUGACGCUGAGGCACGAAAGCGUGGGGAGCAAACAG